RNAcentral lists this ribosomal RNA (755 nucleotides) under uncultured bacterium. RNAcentral's name for it is "bacterial SSU rRNA". It matches the Rfam family "Bacterial small subunit ribosomal RNA", at positions 8 to 796 of the family's 1533-position model. The record is from RNAcentral.
AGAGUUUGAUCCUGGCUCAGAAUCAACGCUGGCGGCGCGCUUAACACAUGCAAGUCGCACGAGAAAGGGGAGCAAUCCCUGAGUACAGUGGCGUACGGGUGAGUAACACGUGGGUAAUCUACCUCUUAGUGGGGAAUAACCCUGGGAAACCGGGGCUAAUACCGCAUAAGCCUGAGAAGGGAAAGCAGCAAUGCGCUGAGAGAGGAGCCCGCGGCCGAUUAGCUAGUUGGCAGGGUAAAAGCCUACCAAGGCAGAGAUCGGUAGCCGGCCUGAGAGGGCACACGGCCACACUGGCACUGAAACACGGGCCAGACUCCUACGGGAGGCAGCAGUGGGGAAUCUUGCACAAUGGGGGCAACCCUGAUGCAGCGACGCCGCGUGAGCGAUGAAGCCCUUCGGGGUGUAAAGCUCUUUCGGCAGGGAAGAUGAUGACGGUACCUGCAGAAGCAGCUGCGGCUAACUACGUGCCAGCAGCCGCGGUAAUACGUAGGCAGCGAGCGUUGUUCGGAGUUACUGGGCGUAAAGGGUGUGUAGGCGGUUCUUUAAGUUUGGUGUGAAAUCUCCCGGCUCAACCGGGAGGGUGCGCCGAAUACUGAGGGACUAGAGUGCGGGAGAGGAAAGUGGAAUUCCUGGUGUAGCGGUGAAAUGCGUAGAUAUCAGGAGGAACACCGGUGGGUAGACGGCUUUCUGGACCGUAACUGACGCUGAGACACGAAAGCGUGGGUAGCAAACAGGAUUAGAUACCCUAGUAGUCC